UACGACUACAUAUCAGGCAUAUCAAUAAGCGGAGGAAAAGAAACUAACAAGGAUUCCCCUAGUAACGGCGAGUGAAGCGGGAAGAGCUCAAAUUUGAAAUCUUAAAGGGUUUCCCUUUACGAAUUGUAGUUUAAAGAAGUGUUUUCUGUUGGAGUUUCGGUAAAAGUUCUUUGGAAUAGGACAUCAUAGAGGGUGAGAAUCCCGUAUUUGACCGUUACUUUCCAGCUGUGUGAUACACUUUCAAAGAGUCGGAUUGUUUGGGAAUGCAGUCCAAGAUGGGUGGUAAAUUUCAUCUAAAGCUAAAUAUUGGCGAGAGACCGAUAGCGAACAAGUACCGUGAGGGAAAGAUGAAAAGAACUUUGAAAAGAGAGUUAAACAGUACGUGAAAUUGUCAAAAGGGAAGCGUUUGACACCAGUGUUGUUUAGUUGAAAAUCAAUUCAAUAGUUUUUGAUUCUAAGUAGUAUUGACUUCAUCAGCUUGCUGCUUUCUUCUCAGAAAUUAUUGAAUGCACUUUUCAGUUAACAAGUCAACAUCAAUUUCUUUUGUUGUAAAAGGGUAAGAGGAAGGUGGCUUGCGCUUCGGCUCAAGUGUUUAUAGCCUUUUAUCUCUGCAAUCGGAGAGAUUGAGGUCUGCAGCGUAGAUCCUUCGGGGUUAGAUACAUUGGUGCUAAGCUAUAGCCUUGUAUAGACAACUUGUUGACUAUGCUCAGUCAUGUAGCUUACUCGCUGAUGCUAUUUUACCUACGCUUAGGAUGUUGACUGAUAUGUAGUCGU
RNAcentral lists this ribosomal RNA (774 nucleotides) under uncultured Neocallimastigales. RNAcentral's name for it is "partial large subunit ribosomal RNA". It matches the Rfam family "Eukaryotic large subunit ribosomal RNA", at positions 24 to 643 of the family's 3401-position model. Lineage: Eukaryota; Fungi; Neocallimastigomycota; Neocallimastigomycetes; Neocallimastigales. The record is from RNAcentral.